Paramuricea clavata is the source of this 236-nucleotide non-coding RNA. The record is from the annotation of a GenBank genome assembly. NCBI's taxonomy places the organism in Eukaryota, Metazoa, Cnidaria, Anthozoa, Malacalcyonacea, Plexauridae.
UUGGCAAAACAGUUGUUUCGAUAAUCUAUGGGAUGCGUCACACCUUGUUCUUUAAUUUUCUCGUGCUGAAAUAAUGGAAAUAAUUACGCGUAAAAAUCUCCCAGCUUGUCAACAAGAUGUGUUCGCACUGCUUGUUCCCAGUUGUUGACAAGUCUGGAACAAGUUGUUAUCAUCUUGUAACAAGGUUGAUGAGGCCAACAGACUCGCAACAAGUUGUUCCAACAAGUCUGAUAUCG